UAUAUGAGUCAUCAUCAUUACAAAGAACAACUAUUAAAAACUUGAUUUUCCGAGAAAACUGUAGUCAAUCAAGGAUUUAGAUCAUAGUAUGAAAAGAAACUAAAAAAGUCAUAAAAAGAGGGGCGUAUGGGAAGGAAUGAAGGGUGACGACGUGAGCCUAACGGACAAGUCAAUUAUAAACAAGAUAUGUUAGGUAAUGAUAAUGUAAUGCCAUGGAAUAUUGGAGGAUAAUUUUCGUUUGGAUACAAAUUAUGAUGUUGACGGUUGAUUCAUACAUGUACAAUUUUAAAUGUCCUGCGCAAGUCGAUUCGAAAAUUCGGGCGCAAAUAAAAUGUAACAGCACAUUGAAAUAUUUCUGCUUGUACAACAACGUGGCAGGGAAGUAUGUUGAGGGAUGUAAUGGACCGGACUGGGAUAGAAAAGGUAGUAAGAGAAUUUAUGCUGGUGACUUCAGCAGAGAAAAAUGUAUACAAAAGCGUUACCAACCGUUUACAUUUUGGACCAAUGAAAGUAUGAGUGACUGUAUCUACGUUAAAUCAAUCUGCAGUGAGGAGGGACAAAUUGUAUACAGGGAUAAUUCAACAAAGGAUGACAGAUCAUGCCGAUGUGAUUAUAAAAAUAAUUAUUCAUUCAUUAAAACUCCAAGAAACUUUUGUUUUUGUAUUCCAACAGAAGAAGAUUGUUCUUGUUAUGUUAAAUCAUGUCCAGGAAAUUUAACGUUGUCAGCAGAUUAUGGUUGCACACAAAGCGGUUUCCAGAAAACGCCUCAAUGUAAAAAUAUAACAAAAUAUAACAAAACCGUGGAUGAAAAAUCGGGAGUCUGCAUGGAAAAUAAACACUUGUGUUUAAGUAAAACAACUUCCGAGUUCAAGAGGAAUGCUAGAGCUGCAGCUACGGUAUUAGUUAGCCUGUUCAUCAUACUCAUGCUUGUUACAGGAGGGUUUUUCUGUGAAGUUUUCCAUGGUAAAAUACUACAACGUUUGGAUAGAUACGUUGAGAAAACCAAUACAGAUGGUGGUAAAUUGAAAGAGAGAAAAACACAGUUAGAUAUAGAAGUACACCAAAUAUCAAACAUUGCUGAACUAGCAACAGAAGAAGUUUACUUUUUACGAAUGAUUCAUAUUCUGUUCAGAGUGGCAUGUCCAGUUGUUCGAAUGAUAUUUAACUACGAGAUUCAUCCAAACCAGUUACAACAUACCCUUGAUAAAAACAAGCGACAAAUUCGAAAACACUACGGAAAAGAAGAAGAUGAUUAUAAGUCGGAUCUUUUACUUAAAUACGCCAAAGGAAAAACAGUUACAUCAGCAGAUUUUAAUAUAGGACUCAUGAUACACCUCUUACAUUUACUUGCAAACAUAGAAGUUUGCAACUUAUAUCCAUGUCCAGCUGAUACAAGUUUCAGUGCAAUGCUGUCCAGAAUUAAAUUUAUAUAUAAUGAAAUAACUCCGAUAUUUAAAGGGAAACUCUCAGAAGAUCAGUUCAAUCAAUACUGGGAUGAUAUAGGGCAGCUAAGACAUUUGAAGAUAGGAAGAAACUUGAAACAGAAAAAAACAGUCAGCAAGACAAGGUUUACAAUAAAGCAAAACGGACAAAAUCGUCAGUUGAUUUAUUUAUAGAAGUUAUUGACCUUAAUUUUUUUUAUCCGUGUUUGCCUUUUCAAAAACUGUAAUAGAUAAAGAUACUCUGGAACGUACACAAGAUCUGCAAAUGAGUCAACAUGUAUGACUGUGAUCCCAAUUCGGUUUAAUCUAAAGUUAAUGUAAAGUCAUUGUCCUUCAUUUCCCCCGGUUUUACACACCUUCCUCUAGCUUAGCUGGAGAGGAUACACUGUGUUCACAUUACUUUUUAAAUGGAUUUUAAGGUAAACAUCAUAGGUAGUACUUCAAUAAUCCGACAACACUGUUAACAGAUAUUGAGGUUAAUAAACGGGCUGCUACAAACCGUGUUUCAAAAGAAGCUACUAAUACCAUUAAAUAUACACGGUUAUCACGUGUUUGCUGUUACCCAAAAAUAUUUAUAGACGUUUAUAGGAGGCAAGAUAAAAUCAUAUACAUUAUUUCAAUCUCUGUUUUCAACUUUUCAAAUGCUAUAAAUUUUGCUAUCAAAUUUACGAUUAUUACAUUAAAAUUUGGUAAAUACAAUAAAAAUUUAAUUCAGCAGUAGUUGUCAAAGAUAAGGGCUAAAAAAUUCAUGUUGAUCAUACAAACUCACAACACUUUGACACAUUUUUGCUGCCAAUUAGUGCGACAAUUUUGCUAUUUAGGUUUUUGGAUUAGUUGGUGAGUGUUUCAGUAUUUUGAUUUGAAGUAUUUGUUUAAUUAUAUAUAUCUAACCACAAUUUUGACAAUCACGCUUUUAUAGAAGUAGAUGUAUUGCCUAAAAUUAAAUGUGAAAUUUGAUGUUGAAACAUACAUACUCGUUUGCUACGUACGGAUGCAAUACUAUGAAAAAUUAUCAGCUAGAGAAUAUUUGUAUACAUAUAUGUUUCAACAUAAAUACAAUUUGUGUAUAAUCAGAUUUAAAUGUAUGUUAACUUUUGCAUGUUCUGCUUUUGAUUUUGCUUAUUUCAUUUUUUCUUGCCUAUAUUUUUGCAUUACUAAUAUCGGUUAUUUUGGUUCUUUCCUUGAUUUAAAAAAAAUACAUCACAGUUAUCAAUUAACAUAUUUAUCUCGAAUAUUCGUCAGCCUCUGUAGAGAUGUAAAAUAGGUGUACUCAAAUAGUUGGAAUUUUACUAUAUUUUUUUCACAACUUAAACAAGACCAAUACAAGGUCCAGACCUAGGUCACUGUAUGUAAUUGAUUGAUCUUGGAUGUAAAAUGAAGCAUAACUGACCCUUCCCUUUCAUUGAAGGCAAGAGAACUUUUGACGAGCAUUUUCCUUUAACAAUGAAUGUUGUAAAAUUUUAAACCAUGGGAAAAUCGGAAGUGGCUUCAUGGUUGAUGUAAAAAUUACUUACACGCUGCUACUCAUCAUCAUUAAGCUGCAGACCAAAUAUCAAAUCAUUCCCUUACAUACAAGCCAAAAAAACUUUAACGAAAAUAUAUGUUGUGCAAUGAGUCUUCUCAAAUUUCAAACUAUCGGCAACAGGAUGUAGCUGCACUGUAGAUGUAAAAAUUGCUUACACGCCGCAAGUCAUAGUUAUUAAGCUGCAGACCAAAUAUGAAAUCAUUAAUCUUCGAUAGAGGCCAGGAGAACCUUUAGAAAAGUUUUGUAUGCAACGUCUUUCGGACGUACGUUUCGGAUUCGAAUGGUAACUAGACUAGGUAAAAAUUACUACUGGAAUCUAAUUAAUUGUUUUGUGCAAUUGUUAUAGAGAUCUUGGGAAUCAUUUGAUAUAUAAACGGGUUUUUUUCACGGUGUCGAUGGAUCUUUCUCUCCCAUGAACAUGAACAUGGUGGGUUUGGUCUGAUCAAAGCAUAAGCAGUAACUCAUGAGCCAAGACCGGUACAAAUUUCUUGAACAGACAUCCAGUAUUGACACCUUAUACAAGACAACAGAUUGUUCAAAAACACCAGAAUAUGUAGAAAUGGUAGAGGAAGUCUACAUAAUUAAACAGACUUAUAACACUCUAUACAAUAAAGCUUGAACACACAAUCGGAAAAUAAAAAAAUACAAUGAAUGGGGCAUAGUGACAUAUCUAAUGCAGCGAUUCAAAUCUGUAGUGAACACUUUCGCUGCAUUGGUGUGUCGUCGGAAAGACUAAUGUAUAUAACAAAAAAAAAUCAUUUGGUUUUUCAAGGUAUAUCUAUUGUUACGUUUCUAUAUUUUGAGAUGACCCCUUGUUUUUCGUCAACUGUAAUCAUAAGUCUUAGUAUAAUCCUAGGUAUAGACAUAGUUUCCACAAAUGUCUAUUAGGCCGUACGGUUACCCAUAGUUGUAAACUUCUAAAUCAUUUAGUCUCUGGUGGAGAGUUGUCUCAUUGGCAAUCAUACCACAUCUUAUUUUUAUAUGUCUUCCAUUCCAAAUUAUUUUCAAUAUUUUGUUUCGAUCUAUUAUGAUAAAAUAAAAACAUGUAUGCACUUAUUUAUACUCAUUCAUAGCAUGCACAGUACAUGAAUGAAAAUGCAACAUGACAUCAAUAACAAGUUCAAACAUAUCAAAUAGAAACAAAUUAAAAAAAAACCAUGAAUUUUUUCAAGAGUAUUUACAUCAACUCAUAUGCUAUGGGUGUAACAUUUGUUCUGUUAAUAACCAUUGUUGUUUUUUUUUCAAACUGGCGGUACUGAAAUUGGUGUUUUCACAAGAACUGGACAUUGAUACUGACCAAGAGAAGAUACGACUUAUCGGUAGACUCUUAGCGGUGAAUCCGAUAAAUAUUGAUAAUACAAAAGUGUGUAAAUUUAUUGAAAUGUCGGAAACGCAUCCUGCAAUCAUACUACAAAGAAUUAUUUCUGAAUAUUGCAAGUCUAAUAACAUAAAAUUAGAAGACGUAUUGAGAGAGGAAAAACACGAACUUUAUCAUAAACGAAUCAAAACAUUCUCCUGCUGUAAAUGCACCAUCGGUUGCUCUACUUACAAUAAAGUGAUUUCCGGAAAGCAGUGGGAUGCACUGUAUGAAUUGAACGAGGAUAGUGAUGUGCAUUCUUGUCCAUUAAAUUUAAGGAUCUGCAGCGAACGUUUUGUUCCAAAAAGAAUACAUACGUGUAAUUUGUCAGCGGCUAAAGUAUUGAUCCUUAAUAUACCAAAUAUUUUGAAAUAUAUGAUAAGUCGAUUAUACACAAGUGGAUUCGAUACGUUCUUGAUGCUUAACCAGCAUACAUUAUACCAUUCAAUGAAGAAAAACAGGUGUUGUAAAUGUAAACAAAUUUCUUAUGAGAAUACUGAAAAAUCAUUAAUUACGGACAGAGAAUGGACCAAUCUAUUUAAUAAAAGUGAUAUAUCCUGUCUAUCAAUUUCUAAGGAUUGUUGCUGUCAGUACUCAGUAAGAAAUGGAAUUAAUUACUCAGAUAUAGACAACAUUUGUUUGUCCAAAAUUUUUCAUAUUGCUGGACCAAUUGCUGUUCUAAAUAAAAUUGAAGAAAAUGCGUUUCUAUAUUUUCUAAAUUGGACUGUUGACGACAAACCCUUACAAAGAGCGAUAACAGAACUAUCAAACAUACUAGUCGAUCAAACAUUUCGCCGUCGAUUUUUAUCCGUGUUCUCCUCUCAGUCAGCGACAUCAAUUGAUGCACGUCGAUGGGUCUCUAGAAACUUACAUCAACAGAAGGCAACAACAGAACAACAACUUCAACUCCUUAUACGCGAUGAAGAUGGUUUGAGGGUAAAAAGUGUACAGAUCCCAAAAGAUUUUCCUUUACCUCAUAGAACUAAACAAUUCACAGAUCUGACUAGAGAAGAAAAUAAUUUCUUAGUAGUGGUUUAUGGACUAACAAAAAUUGUGUAUCCAGUAAUAAAAGAUCAUUUUGAUAGGCAAUGUCCUCAUUUGGUGUUAAACGAACUACGAUUGGAAAGCAACGAACAACAACAAACACAGCAUUGUAGAGAUGAAAAUGAAAGCAGGAAGAGCAGAAUACACUCUACCAAGAAUCAACAACAACAACUUUAUGUACGAAACAAGAACAAAUCGGAGAAGCUAGAUUUGAAAUUGAUGAUUCACAGUUUGAAACGAAGAGCCAAAGAUGCUAGACAAACAGAAUAUGUCGAUCAAUUGAACGACAUCAUGAACAUCCAAAGAGAAAUUGUGCAAAGCAAUAGCGGAGUUUUAAUCGAUACACGGUUUCAAGAUAUCUUGAAAUGCAUACGAAAGACAGUAUUGCAUUUUGGAGGAGAAUUUUAUGAGGAAAAACUAAGAAACCUUCAGCAUAUAAAAAUAUUCUAGAGUUAUGGUGACUACAAACUAAAAUUGUGCAUCAAUUUUAAUGCGAUAUUGUGUUAAAGUGUCACAGAAACAUUACAGUACGUUCAAUAAAGGAAAAGAGCAUGUUUUAUGGGUGUCAGUCUAUUUCUAUUUCUUUUUCAAUACCGAUUUCAACAAAACAAAACUUCUACAGCCAACUACAUUGUCUAGAUCGACCAUCUGGCUGUUGGACCUGUUGUCAUGACCUAUGAAAAACCUGCGAAUAUUCCACUACAAAGAUUAACUGGAGUUGCUUUUCUAUGCACAUUUUUGUUAUGUUUGCUUGAUUGUAAAUUGCUAAUCUCAAAAUUAGGUUUAUUUAGAUGCAAAGAGAUAUAAAUGAGUACUCCAAUCACAAUACAAAUACUUCGUGAAAAUUGCGUAAACAUACAAUUUUCAUAUAUUUAAGAUUUCUCUCUAUUUUUAUUCAUGAUAACAAAAUAAAUGGAAAUGUAAUGCACAGUUUUACAUCAUUUUUAUAUCAGAUGAGUGUGUAUUACACAUCUUUACAUUUAAAGUAGUCAAACGGAAAUGUGUUUAUAGUUCAUGUUCAAAUAUUUAGAUAUAAAACUCUUAUAAAAAUCACCCAAAGUGUAAUUAUCUGUUGUUUGUAUACGAAUUUAGGUUCAUUCUUCAAUACAUUGUAUUUUUCAUAUAAAUAUAAAGAUGGUACUCCAAUACAUUUUGUGCAUCUAUAUACAGGUAUAUCUAUGUAAGCUUUAAAAAAUCUGACAAGAGACAUCAGUUGUUGAGUUUGUCUGCUUUGUUUUAAAUAUGCGGGAUAUUCAAAAUUGUAUGGAAAUUCGGUGAUCACGUCGAGAUAUAGGACUAUAUCAAACACCUGCAUCUCCUGGUUUCGUAUAAAAUAGCAGAUACAACACAUCCAUUGCGACAGGUGGUGUUUCAAGUAGAGACAGGGUCAUAAUAUUAGGCAAGUUAUCUUAAUAACUUAUUUUAUGCAGACGACGAAAACCAUCAAUUUGUUUCAAAAUUUACAUUUUCCUAAUCCCUUCAGGGAACCCUGUAUUACGAUCUUUUGGCUGGUUGACCAACGGUCAGUUUCUACACAAUGUAUAGUAUUAUUACAUUCUUACUGAUCUACAGAUCGAUAAUUGGUAAACAAGAUUUCAAAUCGGAUCUUUUAAAUUGUCCCUCCCUUUAUCCCCAUUCAACACCUUAAGCUUUUUUUAAUUUGAUGAUUAUUAGACGUUGAUCUAUAUGUUAGGUUCAUUACACAUGUAUUUUUUGUAAAUAUGGAAGUUUUAAUUUGUGAGCAUCUUCAUUCCUCAAUACUUAUCAUGCUAAUGUGGCAGGUGUUACACUUAUCAUUUCGAUAUCUUUAUAUGGCUUAGUGGACCCCUUCCGUGGCCAAGCUAUUGUUUUCUGCAUUAUUGUAUUAUCGUUUGAGUUUUUUUAUUUAUUAUAAUAUUGUUAUACAAAUUUAUGUGUAUAUAUUGUUAAUUUUUGUACGAGAAAAAAAUAUACUCUGAAUAAGUAAAAAUUUCGCUAUUCA
Mytilus californianus (California mussel) is the source of this 7349-nucleotide RNA transcript. RefSeq lists it as uncharacterized. The record is from RefSeq and is a predicted model, not a curated record. Lineage: Eukaryota; Metazoa; Mollusca; Bivalvia; Mytilida; Mytilidae. The transcript has 20 exons.